CUUGACACUGAACAUUGAGCCUUGAUGUGUAGGAUAGGUGGGAGGCUUGGAAGUGUGGACGCCAGUCUGCAUGGAGCCGACCUUGAAAUACCACCCUUUAAUGUUUGAUGUUCUAACGUGGACCCGUAAUCCGGGUUGCGGACAGUGUCUGGUGGGUAGUUUGACUGGGGCGGUCUCCUCCUAAAGAGUAACGGAGGAGCACGAAGGUUGGCUAAUCCUGGUCGGACAUCAGGAGGUUAGUGCAAUG
Molecule: ribosomal RNA, 247 nt
Filed under: Escherichia coli
Lineage: Bacteria; Pseudomonadati; Pseudomonadota; Gammaproteobacteria; Enterobacterales; Enterobacteriaceae
Description: partial 23S ribosomal RNA
Rfam family: Bacterial large subunit ribosomal RNA
Source: RNAcentral